This 484-nucleotide ribosomal RNA is filed under the name uncultured bacterium. Its description in RNAcentral is "partial 16S ribosomal RNA". It matches the Rfam family "Bacterial small subunit ribosomal RNA", at positions 30 to 507 of the family's 1533-position model. The record is from RNAcentral.
AUUGAACGCUGGCGGCAGGCCUAACACAUGCAAGUCGAGCGGAUGAAGGGAGCUUGCUCCUGGAUUCAGCGGCGGACGGGUGAGUAAUGCCUAGGAAUCUGCCUGGUAGUGGGGGAUAACGUCCGGAAACGGGCGCUAAUACCGCAUACGUCCUGAGGGAGAAAGUGGGGGAUCUUCGGACCUCACGCUAUCAGAUGAGCCUAGGUCGGAUUGGCUAGUUGGUGGGGUAAAGGCCUACCAAGGCGACGAUCCGUGACUGGUCUGAGAGGAUGAUCAGUCACACUGGAACUGAGACACGGUCCAGACUCCUACGGGAGGCAGCAGUGGGGAAUAUUGGACAAUGGGCGAAAGCCUGAUCCAGCCAGGCCGCGUGUGUGAAGAAGGUCUUCGGAUUGUAAAGCACGUUAAGUGGGGAGGAAGGGCAGUAAGUUAAUACCUUGCUGUUUUGACGUUACCAACAGAAUAAGCACCGGCUAACUUCGUG